This 232-nucleotide long non-coding RNA is filed under the name Mytilus galloprovincialis (Mediterranean mussel). The record is from RNAcentral. Lineage: Eukaryota; Metazoa; Mollusca; Bivalvia; Mytilida; Mytilidae.
UGUGGUUCCAGUAACCCUACCGUCCCUACUUUUUCGGCUUAAAAAUAGCCUACCCUAAAGAUUUUAUUGUAAUUUUUCAUUAAGCACUGUUAAAGUCAGAAUGUUGCUCCCAUAGAUGACGACCCAAUGUAAAAAAAAAAAACAUAAAAUAAUAAAAAAAUCCCUACCUACCUACCCUAACUUUUUUCAGAUGUAACUGGAACCACACAUACUUUUUUAUUUGGCCUAAUGA